Halichondria panicea is the source of this 1426-nucleotide long non-coding RNA. RefSeq lists it as uncharacterized. The record is from RefSeq and is a predicted model, not a curated record. Lineage: Eukaryota; Metazoa; Porifera; Demospongiae; Suberitida; Halichondriidae. The transcript has 3 exons.
ACCACAUGUGGUAAAAAGAUUCCAUCUGUAUACUGGUAGCUAGCUAGCUAGGACUGGAGAGCUGCAGAACAUGGGGAACACCUGUUUUGCAAACUCUGUAUCUAAAUUAGUGAUCCAAAUGAUGAUGGUAUGGUUUGUGCUUUGAAAAAUCUCUACAAUGAAUGUCAGCAAAAUUUUGUCGUGUGUCCAUCAGCUGUAUGUUCUGAUAUGAAAAGGUUAAGGUUAUUAGGAGACCAAAUCAGCAAGAAGAUGCCCACGAGUUUUUGCUGGGGACACUUGAAUUUAUAUGACCUCGAAAUAAAAAAGUUUGGGUAUAAAAUUAAUUUAGUAAAAUUCGUAGCUCAUCACUGGCCUUCAAUGCUUGAGAGUGCAAUGAUGAAUACAAUAUGGUCAAUACAAUAUGGUCAUCUGGUAUGUAAAGUAGAUCUGACGAUAUUUGUAUUAUGCUCAACAUGCAAUGCAGUGCAAUGACUUUAUGCAACGUACUGCCAUUACCAAUUGCACCAACAUUCAAGUUGAAAUGAAAGUAGGCGACUCUUAUUGAUCUUAUAUAUAAUUACGCUGUUUAUGCAAAUAAAAUUUAUUCAGGAUGUAAAUAUCGAAUAGUGCUCAGAACACACUUUUCGCGAAAAACACUGUUUAAGCUUAUACAUUAACGUAACCAAUAUUACUGUAAUACGUAUGUAAAAGCUUUUUGACAUUUAGAUAAAAUAAUUAUUAAGGGUACUUAUAUUUAAUACUCACAGCUGUUGUGCUCCAAGGGACUGCUUGUGAACAGACUGAGAGUGCAUGAUUUGAGUGAGACAUCUGAUGUUUUAGUACUGCUAAGGAGGUAUACAUAAUAAUGAUGAUGAUAUUAGAGCCUAUCAACAACAAAAGAGGUAUCGCUUUACUGUGAUGGUCAAAAGCAUUGUCAUACAUAAAAUUAUAAUGGUACGCGUGCCUAUUGCACUUGCCACAUCCUUGCAAAAUGUCACAAGUGCAUGUUAUGAAAUAUUUGCACACCAAACAUGGCGUGGGCAAUGUAUACAGUGACACACGGGGCACCCACUGAUCAUUGACAAUAGUCAUCACUGCAUGUUUCACUACCUACACAAAACGGUGAGUUUCCAGAUGGUUUUUUAUUCUCUACAGUUUUACAUAAGCAUACAGACAUUACAAGGCACAUGAGGACUCUUUCGGAGAAGAAUGGCCGAAUGGCCCAACUAUUCGAUUAAGAUAUAUCACAUACAAAAACCAGCAACCGACCAAAUGCCCUGGACAUGGAACACCCAAAGCAAUAAGAUGUAAAGAGUGGCAUUGCACAUUCAGCUGUAGCCGUCUACACUCCCUCAGAAGGCACCUUAAUGACGAGCACGCAUUUUGUAUGGACAUUAAGAUUUAAUACAAUUGAUGUAAUCACACUCUAACUAUAUUCACAGUUUGA